GGAGGUGGGGAGAGGGGGAGGAGGGGAGAAGGGGGGGAGAAGGGGGAAGGGAGAAGGGGGGAAGGGCAGGCCCCUGUGGCGGAGACGUGGCUGAAGAUUUGGGGCUGGCCUCCCGGGCAGGGCGGGCUUCCCAGCUCGGGGUAGGGUGGGUGGGGGGCCUUGGGGAAAAAGUCCUCAGGUCUGGGAGGUUGGCCUGUCCCUCCCUCCAUCAGUCGCUGAUGCCUCAGGGGUCUGACGCUGGUGCAGGAGGCUGGGAACGCCCCAAUCCAUCCCCAUUCCCACUAUCUCUCACCCCUGUUCAUGCUGCUCCCCAUCUCUGUGAGGAGACAGGACCCGGAGCUGUGCCAGCUGGGCACAGUAGAUCGGGUGGGGGGAGCCUAAACCCCCCGGGGCCUACCUCCAGUCAGGCUCUAAGGGGUGUUGGCCUGCAGAGAUGCCGGAUUAAAUGUCUCAGUCCAGAGCUCGGCUUUUCUGACCAGGGCAGGUUCUCGUGGAGCCAAAGGGAAAGGGUUUUAAGCUGAAGAGAGAGCGACAGCCUGUCUGGAAGAAAGCUGGAAUUCAAAUCCCAGCGGUUCCCUGACUCCCUCCAUCCGCCAAAACCUUCCUGUGGAGCCACAGGCAGAUGUGAGCUCAGUAUGAAAGAGGACAGAAGAUGCCUGACUCAGCACCUGAGGUCCCUCUCCGACAUCUGGAGUCGGAAGUCAGGCCUCUCAAAGAAGAUCCUUAAUAGCCUCACCAUGUGGCAGGCACUGUUUGGGGUAUCUCGAGAGCGACAGAUGCCCGUUUUUUGACCUUGUGGGGGCAGUGUCACUGAUUCAGCAGAGGAGCUAGAUCCAGGUGCAGGAUGCCUGUUCAAGGUCUGUGCAGAACCGUGGACGCAAGGAGGGGAGGCUGCAGCCAGGGCACCUGCUGUGGGCUGUUGUCAUUGUUUGCGUUGGAACAGGGAGAGGGGGGAACCCAGCACAGCCACAGGUGCAUCGCAGAAUGUGGACUAAGAACAGCCAUCCUGGCCUUCCUGCAGCAACAUGGUGGUGGCAUUCUUUCCAACCGGGGAAGGACAUUUUCAAAAGUAGAGAAUUCACCUGCGAUCCUGUUAUGCUUAGGUUUCUCUGUUUUGUCCGCUUUCCAUCUCAGAUAUUCUCCACGUAUGUAUUUUUUACACAAUGGUUUCAGAGGCUUAUGUGUAAUCAGGAUGUGCACAGUUUGAGUCUGCUUUUCUCACUUAGUGCAAAUGCGCACUUUGCUAAGUUGCUUAAUUUUCUAAUCCCUUAAUUUUGAAUAUUUAGGUGGUUGGUAGUAUUUUUUUCUUUUCUUUUCUUUUUUUUUUUUUUUUUUUUUUGCUGUUACAGAAAUUUGUCCUAAAUGCACUACAACCUUUUCUCACUGUUUUCAGGGCAUAAAUACCCUCGCGAUGGUCAAAGGCUAUGAAAAUUUUCAUAGUUUGAUACAAAUGCUUGCACUGAGCAGUAAUUAUCAGGCACUGAAGGAAGUCAGAGGUUCGGUGCAAUCUGGUUAGAGAUAUUCAUCAGUAAAAAUGUAUUUUUCCACUUCGCUAGAUUAUGAGAUGAAAUGGUACCUCAUUUUAAUUUACAUUUCCUUGAAAACAGUAAGAUCGGAAAUCUUUCCAAAUGUAAUUCCUCUUAUGUAAACUGCCUAAUUAAUAUAGCCUUCAGAUAUUGAGCUAUUAUUUUAUAUUUCUUUUUUUUUUUUUUGUCUUUUUGUCUUUUAGGGCCUCACCCACAGCAUAUGGACAUUCCCAGGCUAGGGGUCUAAUUGGAGCUGUAGCCGCUGGCCUACACCACAGCCACAGCAACGUGGGAUCUGAGCUGUCUGCGACCUACACCGCAGCCCACAGCAAUGCUGGAUCCUUAACCCACUGAGUGAGGCCAGGGAUCGAACCCGAGUCCUCAUGGAUGCUAGUCGGGUUUGCUGAGCCACGACGGGAACUCCUAUUUUAUAUUUCUUAUUAAUUUGUAUGAACGAUUCAUCCUUGUCACAAUUGCUUCAAAUAUUUUUCCACUCUUCUAGCUAUUUUUAAUUUUUGGUUUUACAUUUUCAUAGUCAAAUUUGUUGGUCCUAGCAAGUUUCAGGGUUUAGAAUGUUACUUUCUUCUUUCUAAAAACAUCCAAUUCUAUUCUUGUUAAAAUUCUGUAUCCUCCUUUUAAAUCCACCUAGAGUGUAAUCUUUUUAUUUAUUUAUUAAAAAAA
RNAcentral lists this long non-coding RNA (2207 nucleotides) under Sus scrofa (pig). RNAcentral's name for it is "lncRNA (ENSSSCG00070002068.1)". The record is from RNAcentral. Lineage: Eukaryota; Metazoa; Chordata; Mammalia; Artiodactyla; Suidae.